Molecule: long non-coding RNA, 471 nt
Organism: Pieris brassicae (large cabbage white)
Lineage: Eukaryota; Metazoa; Arthropoda; Insecta; Lepidoptera; Pieridae
Exons: 3
Source: RefSeq, a predicted model, not a curated record
UUUGCAUUAGUCAGCAUUUUAUGGCAGGUUAUUUUAGUUUUUAUAUCAUUCCCCAGACUGGAAUUGUCAUGAUAAUAAGUGGAAAAGUCAACAAAGGGCAAAAGGUGAUCAUCAUUCACCCAUCAUCAGGAAAUCCGUGUCUGAUACGUCUUAUCGAUUUCGUAAAGACAAGCUAUUUUCGUCACAUUGUUGUACUCGUACGGGCAAGAGUCAUCAAACGGAAGGCUAAGACAUCUAUACAUCAAUAGCAGCUGGAGAUAGCACAGAUGCCCUCUUCUGCAUUAUUAUGACUUUCAAAAUACACAUUAACAACAUCGCUUGCCGUACAAAAGUAGUCGUAAAGCAGAAUUACGACUGUUUAAUGUUUUCUCAUUUUUGACUUCCUUGGGUGAUACUAAUACACUAUAACUGUAAUAUUUUUUAGAAACACGAGGAUGUAUUUAUUCUACGGAUUGUUUUGUACAAAAUGUC